AGUGAACGUUGGCGGCGUGGAUUAGGCAUGCGAGUCGAGCGAGAACCGUAGCAAUACGGGGACAGCGGCGAAAGGGACAGUAAUAUGUAGGUACCUACCCUCGGGUCCGGGAUAGCUGCGGGAAACUGCAGGUAAUACCGGAUGACAUCUCCGGAUCAAAGGUGUGAUUCCGCCCGGGGAGGGGCCUGCAUCCUAUUAGCUUGUUGGUGGGGUAACGGCCUACCAAGGCGACGUUGGGUAGCGGGUGUGAGAGCAUGACCCGCGUCAUUGGGACUGAGACACUGCCCAGACGCCUACGGGUGGCUGCAGUCGAGAAUCUUCGGCGAUGGGGGCAACCCUGACCGAGCGACGCCGCGUGCGGGAUGAAGGCCUUCGGGUUGUAAACCGCUGUCGUAGAGGAGGAAAUGCAGGGGGGUUCUCCCCUCUGUUUGACCUAUUCUAGGAGGAAGGACGGGCUAAGUUCGUGCCAGCCGCCGCAGUAA
RNAcentral lists this ribosomal RNA (482 nucleotides) under uncultured bacterium. Its description in RNAcentral is "partial 16S ribosomal RNA". It matches the Rfam family "Bacterial small subunit ribosomal RNA", at positions 28 to 523 of the family's 1533-position model. The record is from RNAcentral.